AGCAGCCGCGGUAAUUCCAGCUCCAAUAGCGUAUAUUAAAGUUGUUGCAGUUAAAAAGCCCGUAGUUGAAUUUCGGGGUUAGUAGGUUGGUCAUGCCUCUGGUAUGUACUGGUCUCACUGAUUCCUCCUUCCUGAUGAACCUUAAUGCCAUUUAUUUGGUGUUUUGGGGAAUUUGGACUGUUACUUUGAAAAAAUUAGAGUGUUUAAAGCAAGCUAACGCUUGAAUACAUUAGCAUGGAAUAAUGAAAUAGGACGUUCGAUCCUAUUUUGUUGGUUUCUAGGAUUGACGUAAUGAUUAAUAGGGAUAGUUGGGGGCAUUAGUAUUCAAUUGUCAGAGGUGAAAUUCUUGGAUUUAUUGAAGACUAACUACUGCGAAAGCAUUUGCCAAGGAUGUUUUCAUUAAUCAAGAACGAAAGUUAGGGGAUCGAAGACGAUCAGAUACCGUCGUAGUCUUAACCAUAAACUAUGCCGACUAGGGAUCGGAUGAUGUUAAUUUUUUAAUAACUCUAUUC
This 512-nucleotide ribosomal RNA is filed under the name uncultured Glomus. RNAcentral describes it as "SSU rRNA". It matches the Rfam family "Eukaryotic small subunit ribosomal RNA", at positions 569 to 1081 of the family's 1831-position model. Lineage: Eukaryota; Fungi; Glomeromycota; Glomeromycetes; Glomerales; Glomeraceae. The record is from RNAcentral.